RNAcentral lists this ribosomal RNA (779 nucleotides) under uncultured beta proteobacterium. RNAcentral describes it as "bacterial SSU rRNA". It matches the Rfam family "Bacterial small subunit ribosomal RNA", at positions 65 to 836 of the family's 1533-position model. Lineage: Bacteria; Pseudomonadati; Pseudomonadota; Betaproteobacteria. The record is from RNAcentral.
AACGCGAAAGUGGGGGCAACCCUGCGAGUAGAGUGGCGAACGGGUGAGUAACACAUCGGAACGUACCCAGGAGUGGGGGACAACCUCGAGAAAUCGAGGCUAAUACCGCAUACGUCCUGAGGGAGAAAGCGGGGGAUUCGCAAGGACCUCGCGCUCAUGGAGCGGCCGAUGUCGGAUUAGCUAGUUGGCGGGGUAAAGGCCCACCAAGGCUACGAUCCGUAGCUGGUUUGAGAGAACGACCAGCCACACUGGGACUGAGACACGGCCCAGACUCCUACGGGAGGCAGCAGUGGGGAAUUUUGGACAAUGGGCGCAAGCCUGAUCCAGCCAUGCCGCGUGAGUGAAGAAGGCCUUCGGGUUGUAAAGCUCUUUCGGCCGGAACGAAAUCGCGUACGUGAAUAACGUGCGUGGAUGACGGUACUGGAAGAAGAAGCACCGGCUAACUACGUGCCAGCAGCCGCGGUAAUACGUAGGGUGCGAGCGUUGUUCGGAAUUACUGGGCGUAAAGCGCACGUAGGCGGGCUAUUAAGUCAGGGGUGAAAUCCCGGAGCUCAACUCCGGAACUGCCUUUGAUACUGGUAGUCUAGAGAUCGGAAGAGGUUAGUGGAAUUCCCAGUGUAGAGGUGAAAUUCGUAGAUAUUGGGAAGAACACCAGUGGCGAAGGCGGCUAACUGGUCCGAUACUGACGCUGAGGUGCGAAAGCGUGGGUAGCAAACAGGAUUAGAUACCCUGGUAGUCCACGCCCUAAACGAUGUCAACUAGGUGUUGGGUGGGUAAAA